AGCGAACGCUGGCGGCAUGCCUAACACAUGCAAGUCGAACGAGACCUUCGGGUCUAGUGGCGCACGGGUGCGUAACGCGUGGGAACCUGCCCUUAGGUUCGGAAUAACUCCCCGAAAGGGGUGCUAAUACCGGAUAAUGUCUUCGGACCAAAGAUUUAUCGCCUUUGGAUGGGCCCGCGUUGGAUUAGCUAGUUGGUAGGGUAAAAGCCUACCAAGGCGACGAUCCAUAGCUGGUCUGAGAGGAUGAUCAGCCACACUGGGACUGAGACACGGCCCAGACUCCUACGGGAGGCAGCAGUGGGGAAUAUUGGACAAUGGGCGAAAGCCUGAUCCAGCAAUGCCGCGUGAGUGAUGAAGGCCUUAGGGUUGUAAAGCUCUUUUACCCGGGAUGAUAAUGACAGUACCGGGAGAAUAAGCUCCGACUAACUCCGUG
RNAcentral lists this ribosomal RNA (433 nucleotides) under uncultured bacterium. RNAcentral's name for it is "partial 16S ribosomal RNA". It matches the Rfam family "Bacterial small subunit ribosomal RNA", at positions 29 to 507 of the family's 1533-position model. The record is from RNAcentral.